UGAGGAUGGGUCUGCGGCCGAUUAGGUAGUUGCUGGGGUAACGUCCCAACAAGCCGAUAAUCGGUACGGGUUGUGAGAGCAAGAGCCCGGAGAUGGAUUCUGAGACACGAAUCCAGGCCCUACGGGGCGCAGCAGGCGCGAAAACUUUACACUGCGCGAAAGCGCGAUAAGGGGACCUCGAGUGCGUGCGCAAUGCGUACGCUUUUCAGAUGCCUAAAAAGCAUCUGGAAUAAGGGCCGGGCAAGACCGGUGCCAGCCGCCGCGGUAACACCGGCGGCUCAAGUGGUGGCCGCUAUUAUUGGGCUUAAAGGGUCCGUAGCCGGACCAGUUAGUCCCUUGGGAAAUCUUACGGCUUAACCGUAAGGCUGCCAAUGGAUACUGCUGGUCUUGGGACCGGGAGAGGCAAGAGGUACCUCAGGGGUAGGAGUGAAAUCCUGUAAUCCUUGAGGGACCGCCAGUGGCGAAGGCGUCUUGCUAGAACGGGUCCGACGGUGAGGGACGAAAGCUAGGGGCACGAACCGGAUUAGAUACCCGGGUAGUCCUAGCCGUAAACGAUGCGAGCUAGGUGUCACGUGGAUUGCGAAUCCAUGUGGUGCCGAAGGGAAACCGUGAAGCUCGCCGCCUGGGAAGUACGGCCGCAAGGCUGAAACUUAAAGGAAUUGGCGGGGG
Molecule: ribosomal RNA, 669 nt
Filed under: uncultured archaeon
Lineage: Archaea
Description: bacterial SSU rRNA
Rfam family: Archaeal small subunit ribosomal RNA
Source: RNAcentral